CCUACGGGAGGCAGCAGUGGGGAAUAUUGCGCAAUGGGCGAAAGCCUGACGCAGCGACGCCGCGUGAGGGACGACGGCCUUCGGGUUGUAAACCUCUUUCAGCAGGGACGAAGCGAAAGUGACGGUACCUGCAGAAGAAGCACCGGCCAACUACGUGCCAGCAGCCGCGGUAAUACGUAGGGUGCAAGCGUUGUCCGGAAUUAUUGGGCGUAAAGAGCUCGUAGGCGGUUUGUCACGUCGGAUGUGAAAACUCGGGGCUCAACUCCGAGCCUGCAUACGAUACGGGCAGACUUGAGUUCGGCAGGGGAGACUGGAAUUCCUGGUGUAGCGGUGAAAUGCGCAGAUAUCAGGAGGAACACCGGUGGCGAAGGCGGGUCUCUGGGCCGAUACUGACGCUGAGGAGCGAAAGCGUGGGGAGCAAACAGGAUUAGAUACCCCGGUAGUCCACGCCGUAAACGGUGGGUGCUAGGUGUGGGGAACAUUCCACGUUCUCCGUGCCGCAGCUAACGCAUUAAGCACCCCGCCUGGGGAGUACGGCCGCAAGGCAAAACGUCAAAGGAAUUGACGG
RNAcentral lists this ribosomal RNA (568 nucleotides) under uncultured bacterium. RNAcentral describes it as "bacterial SSU rRNA". It matches the Rfam family "Bacterial small subunit ribosomal RNA", at positions 338 to 916 of the family's 1533-position model. The record is from RNAcentral.